RNAcentral lists this ribosomal RNA (406 nucleotides) under uncultured bacterium. RNAcentral's name for it is "partial 16S ribosomal RNA". It matches the Rfam family "Bacterial small subunit ribosomal RNA", at positions 30 to 526 of the family's 1533-position model. The record is from RNAcentral.
AUUGAACGCUGGCGGCAGGCCUAACACAUGCAAGUCGAGCGAGCGGCGGACGGGUGAGUAAUGUAUGGGGAUCUGCCCGAUAGAGGGGGAUAACUACUGGAAACGGUGGCUAAUACCGCAUACUAUCGGAUGAACCCAUAUGGGAUUAGCUAGUGGGUGGGGGAAAGGCUCACCAAGGCGACGAUCCCUAGCUGGUCUGAGAGGAUGAUCAGCCACACUGGAACUGAGACACGGCCCAGACUCCUACGGGAGGCAGCAGUGGGGAAUAUGGCACAAUGGGCGCAAGCCUGAUGCAGCCAUGCCGCGUGUAUGAAGAAGGCCUUCGGGUUGUAAAGUACUUUCAGCGGGGAGGCGUUACCCGCAGAAGAAGCACCGGCUAACUCCGUGCCAGCAGCCGCGGUAAUAC